RNAcentral lists this ribosomal RNA (492 nucleotides) under uncultured bacterium. Its description in RNAcentral is "partial 16S ribosomal RNA". It matches the Rfam family "Bacterial small subunit ribosomal RNA", at positions 29 to 507 of the family's 1533-position model. The record is from RNAcentral.
AGUGAACGCUGGCGGUAGGCCUAACACAUGCAAGUCGAACGGCAGCACAGUAAGAGCUUGCUCUUACGGGUGGCGAGUGGCGGACGGGUGAUGAAUACAUCGGAAUCUACUUUUUCGUGGGUGAUAACGUAGGGAAACUUACGCUAAUACUGCAUACGACCUACGGGUGAAAGCAGGGGAUCUUCGGACCUUGCGCGAUUGAAUGAGCCGAUGUCGGAUUAGCUAGUUGGCGGGGUAAAGGCCCACCAAGGCGACGAUCCGUAGCUGGUCUGAGAGGAUGAUCAGCCACACUGGAACUGAGACACGGUCCAGACUCCUACGGGAGGCAGCAGUGGGGAAUAUUGGACAAUGGGCGAAAGCCUGAUCCAGCCAUACCGCGUGGGUGAAGAAGGCCUUCGGGUUGUAAAGCACUUUUGUUGGGAAAGAAAAGCAGCAGGUUAAUACCCCGCUGUUCUGACGGUACCAAAAGAAUAAGCACCGGCUAACUUCGUG